GACGAACGCUGGCGGCGUGCUUAACACAUGCAAGUCGAACGGAAAGGCCCUGCUUUUGUGGGGUGCUCGAGUGGCGAACGGGUGAGUAACACGUGAGUAACCUGCCCUUGACUUUGGGAUAACUUCAGAAACUGGGGCUAAUACCGGAUAGGAGCUCCUGCUGCAUGGUGGGGGUUGGAAAGUUUCGGCGGUUGGGGAUGGACUCGCGGCUUAUCAGCUUGUUGGUGGGGUAGUGGCUUACCAAGGCUUUGACGGGUAGCCGGCCUGAGAGGGUGACCGGCCACAUUGGGACUGAGAUACGGCCCAGACUCCUACGGGAGGCAGCAGUGGGGAAUAUUGCACAAUGGGCGGAAGCCUGAUGCAGCAACGCCGCGUGCGGGAUGACGGCCUUCGGGUUGUAAACCGCUUUCGCCUGUGACGAAGGGUGAGUGACGGUAAUGGGUAAAGAAGCACCGGCUAACUACGUG
This 467-nucleotide ribosomal RNA is filed under the name uncultured bacterium. RNAcentral's name for it is "partial 16S ribosomal RNA". It matches the Rfam family "Bacterial small subunit ribosomal RNA", at positions 28 to 507 of the family's 1533-position model. The record is from RNAcentral.